UAUUUCACCCAUAUCACCCUGCAGCCCAAGACUGGUUGCCCACUGAAGCUAAGCAGGGCUGAGCCUGGUCAGAACCUGGAUGGGAGACCUCCUGGGAAAACUAGGUUGCUGCUGGAA
This 117-nucleotide ribosomal RNA is filed under the name Sinocyclocheilus rhinocerous. The record is from RNAcentral. Lineage: Eukaryota; Metazoa; Chordata; Actinopteri; Cypriniformes; Cyprinidae.